CCCGGCGUGGACUGGGGACCCCCUUGGUGGCCCCUUCCGGGAGAUCCGUGGCACCUGCGCCCGCAGCUCUGAGGUCCUCGAUUCAAGAGUGUUUCCAGCCCCACCACCAGGGAGCCCCCGCCGCCGUGGCGUCCCGAAGCGGGAGUCUCCAGGCAGGGAUGCGCCCAGGGGCCCGGGCUUGGGCGGUGGAGAGAGGACCCCGACAAGGAACACAUUGCCCCCACCCCCAUCCUGUCCUCGAGGGCGCUGGCCAGAGACCCGCACCCUUACGCAAGGCGGUCUCAGCCGGCCCUGAUAGUCAGGCAUUUGGACGUCCCCCAACACCCAGGGCAGGAUUCCAGUGUCCCUCUACCCGCUCUCCUCUGAGUCCCCUGCUAUCCUGAGCACCCAGUCCGGGGCCUUCCGGGAGGGGUGCGUGGGCCUCAGUCCCCAGCCUUCUGAGGAGGCAUCUGCUCAAGCGCGUCCCUAAGCCCCAGCGAGACCCGAGCCCAGGGGCGAAAGGUCGCGCAGAGGGCGCCCCUAGGCCUGACACUCCCAUUCCCAGAUCUUCCUCUACUCCCCACCAGGCCCGGUGUCUUAUUUCUUUGUCUUCGGAAUUGCCCUCAUCCCGACCUUUUCGCACGGCCCCAUACUCCCUGCAGCCCUGCGCUGCAGCCCAGUGCGGGGUAGGGGGGAGAGGGGGGAGGAAGGAGCUCCUCCCCAGCGCCCCCUUCUAGGCUAGUUGCCGUGACCUCCCAAGCGAGGAGAGGUGGAGGGGGCUGGAAUUCCGGAGCAAGCUGAGCUGGCCGAAGCCUCAGGGCAAGGAAGGCCUAGGGCCCAGAUGGCAGAUUGCAGCCCUGGUGGCCAAGGUCCAUUUUCUUGCUUCCUAUGCCAAAGUGGAGGGGCCAAUGGGAGUGAGAGCAGGAGAGAGAGAUCACAGGCAGAGCAAGUCACAGAAGCAGCCAGAAGGAUUGGCCUUGAAUAUAAGUUCCUCUCCCAGAUGCAGAAUCCAUCUCUGCCACAAGUGCCUCCUAACACCCAAGCCAUGGAGGCUGGACACAGGAACCUCCUUGAUGCCCAGCAGGAACACAACUGCCUUCCCAUAGCGUCUCAAAUCUCCCUGAGGGCACCAAAUUUGUCUCCCAAAGCCCAGCUGUAUGGAAGUCGGAGAAUCAUUGUCUGGUACCACCCAGGCCCUAAACAACUAUGUAAGAAUGACAUUGCCAUCAAUUAACUCAUGAAAACAUACUGCCCUAACUCAGUAUUGGUCAUUAUCAUGCAAAGCCAGAAAACCUGGGGCUGCCCACAGAAACAUGUAUUUCAGGCGAAGAAGUUCAUGAUGAUGGAACUCCAACCUUGAAAACAUUUGAGCAUGUGACUGGGAAAAUUGGAGCAGAAGAAGCUAAGGAAGUUGGGGUUGAACACUUAUUGUGAAACAUCAAGGACGGUACAGUGGGCAGUCUUUCCAAGUGGAUCACAAAUCAGGGCCAUGGUUUGAAGGGACUGAACUCCAAGUUUCUAGAUAUCGGGAGCUACCUGGAAAAAGUAGCCACAGGCAAGCUGCCCAUCAACCACCAGAUCAUCUACCAGCUGCAGGACGUCUUCAACCUGCUGCCUGAUGUCAGCCUGCAGGAGUUUGUCAAGGCCUUUUACCUGAAGACUAAUGACCAGAUGAUGAUGGUGUACUUGGCCUCGCUGACCCGCUCCGUAGUUGCCCUGCACAACCUCAUUAACAACAAGAUUGCCAACCAGGAUGUAGAGAAGAAAGAAGGGCAGGAAAAAGAAGAGAGCAAAAGGAUAGGAAAGAUGACAAAGAGAAAGAUAAAGAUAAGGAAAAGAGUGAUGUGAAGAAAGAAGAGAGAAGGGAGAAAAAGUAAAACAUGUAGCUUUUUUUAAUUUGUAAAUUAAAAUCUUAUAAACUAAAUCAAUGUGCCACUAGAGGGUUCUUUUCCACUUUUAGUGCUUAUUAAAAGGCUGUCCUGAUGAGAGCUCUCUGCCUCCGAUCAUUCUUGCUGUGGCAUUAACUGAUGUAAAUGACAGAGGGACUGAUCUGCAACUCAGACUGCAGCCUCAGCUGCU
RNAcentral lists this long non-coding RNA (2058 nucleotides) under Ictidomys tridecemlineatus (thirteen-lined ground squirrel). RNAcentral describes it as "lncRNA (ENSSTOG00000031461.1)". Lineage: Eukaryota; Metazoa; Chordata; Mammalia; Rodentia; Sciuridae. The record is from RNAcentral.